AUUGAACGCUGGCGGCAUGCCUUACACAUGCAAGUCGAACGGCAGCACGGGAGCAAUCCUGGUGGCGAGUGGCGAACGGGUGAGUAAUAUAUCGGAACGUGCCCAGUAGUGGGGGAUAGCCCGGGGAAAGCCGGAUUAAUACCGCAUGCGACUUGAGGGUGAAAGCGGGGGAUCGCAAGACCUCGCGCUAUUGGAGCGGCCGAUAACAGAUUAGCUAGUUGGUGGGGGAAAGGCCUACCAAGGCAACGAUCUGUAGUUGGUCUGAGAGGACGACCAGCCACACUGGGACUGAGACACGGCCCAGACUCCUACGGGAGGCAGCAGUGGGGAAUUUUGGACAAUGGGCGCAAGCCUGAUUCAGCAAUGCCGCGUGCAGGAAGAAGGCCUUCGGGUUGUAAACUGCUUUUGUCAGGGAAGAAAUCGCUUGGGAUAAUACCCCGGGGGGAUGACGGUACCUGAAGAAUAAGCACCGGCUAACUACGUGCCAGCCGCCGCGGUAA
RNAcentral lists this ribosomal RNA (500 nucleotides) under uncultured bacterium. RNAcentral describes it as "partial 16S ribosomal RNA". It matches the Rfam family "Bacterial small subunit ribosomal RNA", at positions 29 to 523 of the family's 1533-position model. The record is from RNAcentral.